ACGCUGCUGCUGGGGCAGAUCCGGAUGGCAGUGCUGAGCCUCUUCCAGCUCACCUCCAUGAGGCUGGAGGUCCCCAAGGAUGUGGCCCUGGAGGACACAGAGGCACAGCUGGAUCUGCUGCUCUGCAUGCAGGACCUGGCUGCCAUCUGUGCCGAGCUGGGGCUGUGUUCUCCUGUGCCUGCUACCACUGCCACACACCCACGGCGUCACAGAGCUGUCACUGUGCCUCCCAACCAGGAAUAGAUGGACUUAGGAUACAGUGGAGCACGAAAGUCACUCAACAUGUCCAGG
Molecule: long non-coding RNA, 291 nt
Filed under: Gallus gallus (chicken)
Lineage: Eukaryota; Metazoa; Chordata; Aves; Galliformes; Phasianidae
Description: long non-coding RNA NONGGAT002950
Source: RNAcentral